CCUACGGGUGGCAGCAGUGAGGAAUAUUUGUCAAUGGACGAGAGUCUGAACCAGCCAAGUAGCGUGAAGGAUGACUGCCCUAUGGAUUGUAAACCUCUUUUAUAUGGGAAUAAAAUGUUCCACGUGUGGGAUUUUGUAUGUACCAUAUGAAUAAGGAUCGGCUAACUCCGUUCCAGCAGCCGCGGUACUACGGAGGCUCCGAGCGUUAUCCGGAUUUAUUGGGUGUAAAGGGCGCGUAGGUGAAUUGUUAAGUGAGUUGUGAAAGUUUGCGGCUCAACCGUAGAAUUGCAGUUGAAACUGGCAGUCUUGUGUACAGUAGGGGUGGGCGGAAUUCGUGGUGGAGCGGUGAAAUGCUUAGAUAUCACGAAGAACACCGAUGGCGAAGGCAGCUCACUGGACUGCAACUGACACUGAGGCUCGAAAGUGUGGGUAUCAAACAGGAUUAGAUACCCUGGUAGUC
RNAcentral lists this ribosomal RNA (460 nucleotides) under uncultured bacterium. Its description in RNAcentral is "partial 16S ribosomal RNA". It matches the Rfam family "Bacterial small subunit ribosomal RNA", at positions 338 to 795 of the family's 1533-position model. The record is from RNAcentral.